Molecule: ribosomal RNA, 256 nt
Filed under: uncultured bacterium
Lineage: Bacteria
Description: partial 16S ribosomal RNA
Rfam family: Bacterial small subunit ribosomal RNA
Source: RNAcentral
UACGUAGGGUGCAAGCGUUGUCCGGAAUUAUUGGGCGUAAAGAGCUCGUAGGCGGUCUGUCGCGUCGGCUGUGAAACCCUGGGGCUCAACCCCAGGCCUGCAGUCGAUACGGGCAGACUAGAGUCCGGCAGGGGAGACUGGAAUUCCUGGUGUAGCGGUGAAAUGCGCAGAUAUCAGGAGGAACACCGGUGGCGAAGGCGGGGUCUCUGGGCCGGAACUGACGCUGGAGGAGCGAAAGCGUGGGGAGCGAACAGGA